RNAcentral lists this ribosomal RNA (24 nucleotides) under Pseudocyphellaria aurata. Its description in RNAcentral is "partial 18S ribosomal RNA". The record is from RNAcentral. Lineage: Eukaryota; Fungi; Ascomycota; Lecanoromycetes; Peltigerales; Lobariaceae.
AGGUCUCCGUAGGUGAACCUGCGG